RNAcentral lists this ribosomal RNA (385 nucleotides) under uncultured bacterium. RNAcentral's name for it is "bacterial SSU rRNA". It matches the Rfam family "Archaeal small subunit ribosomal RNA", at positions 341 to 726 of the family's 1478-position model. The record is from RNAcentral.
GCGAAAACUUUACAAUGCUGGCAACAGCGAUAAGGGAACCUCGAGUGCCAGGUUACAAAUCUGGCUGUCGAGAUGCCUAAAAAGCAUUUCAUAGCAAGGGCCGGGCAAGACCGGUGCCAGCCGCCGCGGUAACACCGGCGGCUCGAGUGGUAACCGUUAUUAUUGGGUCAAAAGGGUCUGUAGCCGGCCGGAUAAGUCUCUUGAGAAAUCUGGCAGCUUAACUGUCAGGCUUUCAGGAGAUACUGUCUGGCUCGAGGCCGGGAGAGGUGAGAGGUACUUCAGGGGUAGGGGUGAAAUCUUGUAAUCCUUGAAGGACCACCAGUGGCGAAUGCGUCUCACCAGAACGGACCUGACGGCAAGGGACGAAAGCUAGGGGCACGAACCG